AGCAGCCGCGGUAAUUCCAGCUCCAAUAGCGUAUAUUAAAGUUGUUGCAGUUAAAAAGCUCGUAGUUGAAUUUCGGGAUCAAAGGAUCGGUCAUGCCUUGGUAUGUACUGGUUUUAUUGGUUCUCACCUUCUAAAGAACCAUAAUGUCAUUCAUUUGAUGUUAUGGGGAAUUAGGACUGUUACCUUGAAAAAUUAGAGUGUUUAAAGCAGGCUUACGCUUGAAUACAUUAGCAUGGAAUAAUGAAAUAGGACAUCAGAUUCUAUUUUGUUGGUUUCUAGGAUCGAUGUAAUGAUUAAUAGGGAUAGUUGGGGGCAUUAGUAUUCAAUUGUCAGAGGUGAAAUUCUUGGAUUUAUUGAAGACUAACUACUGCGAAAGCAUUUGCCAAGGAUGUUUUCAUUAGUCAAGAACGAAAGUUAGGGGAUCGAAGACGAUCAGAUACCGUCGUAGUCUUAACCAUAAACUAUGCCGACUAGGGAUCGGAUGAUGUAAUUUUAUAAUGA
This 501-nucleotide unclassified non-coding RNA is filed under the name uncultured Glomus. RNAcentral describes it as "SSU rRNA". It matches the Rfam family "Eukaryotic small subunit ribosomal RNA", at positions 569 to 1078 of the family's 1831-position model. The record is from RNAcentral. Lineage: Eukaryota; Fungi; Glomeromycota; Glomeromycetes; Glomerales; Glomeraceae.